Molecule: long non-coding RNA, 756 nt
Filed under: Oryza brachyantha (malo sina)
Lineage: Eukaryota; Viridiplantae; Streptophyta; Magnoliopsida; Poales; Poaceae
Description: long non-coding RNA (OBRA_LNC001315)
Source: RNAcentral
UCAAGAGUCAAGGUCAGAAUAAUACAUUACUCCUAAUUAAUCAUGUAAGACUUGCCGAAAAAAAAAGACUGUCAUGUUGACUCGACGAUUACGGAACACAUAUAAUCCAUACUACUACAGUAUUUAGGCUUAACUUAGCUUUGAUAACUGAAAUAAUUAAUUAACCUCACUCAAACAUCAUUAACAACCUUGAGCAAUUUUACAGCACUUGAGAAGCUACCAUUAGAUACGAAAACACAGUACCAAAUUUUACACUGAAAUUUUGGUAACUCUGAGCACAUACUCAACGACUAUAAAAUUGCUCAACAACUAAUUAAUCAAAUCCAUACCAAUCCGGCUAACUAAUUAAUGACACAGUAUAUUCACAACAACAAAAUAAUUAACCAUCCAUGCAUCAUACAUAUAUACUCCAUAUGCACUAAUUGAUCGAUCUUAGCUAAUUAACGCUGCUGCUGCUGCUUCUUCCUCGCCGCCGCCGCCGCCUCCGCCGCCAGCCGCCGUCUCACCCUGUCGAUGUACUUCCCGGCGGCCUCGUCGAUGCUAGGCGUCUGCACGGCGUUCACCACCGUCGCCGUCGUCGUCUGGAUCUUCUCCACCCUGUGGACGCUGAUCUCCGCCGCGCUCGGCAUAGUACUGUUCGUCGUCGCCCUAGCUGUUCGCUCGAUCGAUCGAGAGGAUGAACACACGUACAAAUUAAGGAUGCUGAAAAGCUACCAGCUGCUGAUCGAUGGCUCUGAAUCUGAUGAUGUGUGCUCA